UAGGGAAUCUUCGGCAAUGGACGAAAGUCUGACCGAGCAACGCCGCGUGAGUGAAGAAGGUUUUCGGAUCGUAAAACUCUGUUGGUAGAGAAGAACGUUGGUGAGAGUGGAAAGCUCAUCAAGUGACGGUAACUACCCAGAAAGGGACGGCUAACUACGUGCCAGCAGCCGCGGUAAUACGUAGGUCCCGAGCGUUGUCCGGAUUUAUUGGGCGUAAAGCGAGCGCAGGUGGUUUAUUAAGUCUGGUGUAAAAGGCAGUGGCUCAACCAUUGUAUGCAUUGGAAACUGGUAGACUUGAGUGCAGGAGAGGAGAGUGGAAUUCCAUGUGUAGCGGUGAAAUGCGUAGAUAUAUGGAGGAACACCGGUGGCGAAAGCGGCUCUCUGGCCUGUAACUGACACUGAGGCUCGAAAGCGUGGGGAGCAAACAGGAUUAGAUAGCCCUGGUAGUCCAC
This 452-nucleotide ribosomal RNA is filed under the name uncultured bacterium. RNAcentral's name for it is "partial 16S ribosomal RNA". It matches the Rfam family "Bacterial small subunit ribosomal RNA", at positions 355 to 798 of the family's 1533-position model. The record is from RNAcentral.